Molecule: unclassified non-coding RNA, 266 nt
Filed under: uncultured fungus
Lineage: Eukaryota; Fungi
Description: sequence contains ITS2
Source: RNAcentral
AACGCACAUUGCGCCCAUUAGUAUUCUAGUGGGCAUGCCUGUUCGAGCGUCAUUAACUCCACUUAAGCCUAGCUUAGUGUUGGGAGUCUACGUAAAGGUAGUUACCCUGUAGCUACCCUGUAGUUCCUUAAAGAUAGCGGCGGAGUAGUGUUAUCCUCUGAGCUUAGUAAUUUUUCUAGCUUUCGAGUAGACACUGCCCUUGCCGGUAAACACCCUUCUUCUGAAUGGUUGACCUCGGAUCAGGUAGGAAUACCCGCUGAACUUAA